Molecule: long non-coding RNA, 1757 nt
Filed under: Oryctolagus cuniculus (rabbit)
Lineage: Eukaryota; Metazoa; Chordata; Mammalia; Lagomorpha; Leporidae
Description: lncRNA (ENSOCUG00000039146.1)
Source: RNAcentral
UCAAAAGUGCUUCUUGCCCCCAGACCUGUUAAGACCAGUUAAGCUGAUUAUUUAAAAAGAUUUAUUUUAUUUGUUUUAAUGGCAAAAUUAGAGAGAGAGAGAGAGAGAGUCUUCCAUAGGCUGGGUCACUCCAAAUGGCUGCGAUGGUUGGCACUCAGCCAGGCAGAAGCCAGGAGCCAGGAACUCCAUCCGGGUCUCCCACGUGGGUUGCAGGAGUCCAAGUGCUUGGGCCAUCUUCCACUGCGCGUUAGCAGGAAGCUGGAUCAUGCGUGGAGAAGCUGGAGACUCGAACAAGUGCGCCUAUGGAAUGUUGGCAUUGCAGGGGGUGGCUUACUUUACCAGCUAUGCCACAACACGGGCCCAAGCUGGUUUAUUUCGUUGUUUUGUUUGUUUGUUUUGGUAAAUGAUAUUCACCCAUGGAAUAGAGUAAUCGCAGGCAAGUUGAAUUCCUGGAGAGUGGAAGCUUGAAGGUGGUCAAAAGGGGGACGGGUAUUCUUGGAGGAGGGAACACAUUCUGCAAAGCGUCUUAGGCAGAACAAGACUUUCUUUGUGGCACUUAAGGAAUGCCAUGUGCUGUGGCUUCAGCUUCCUGUGGGAAAGCAGGAAGACGUGAGGCUGAAAUGGAGAGCGGAUCUGAGCAGGAGGAGGGUUACCUCCCUAAUACGCACCUGUUCUCCAGGAGUAGAAUCUCCCUUUGGAGUCUUUGGAGGAGACCUUCAUGAUGGUUAAUCCAAGGCGGCGCCUUGCUGACGUCAUGGUUAACCAGUUUCUGCUGGAGAAAGCACUUACAGGCAUGAGCCAAGUCAACAGAUUGUGCACAAUGCAAAAUACAGGAGGUCCUGUUCAUUGCACGUGGAGCUUCCUCCCUAGCAAGAACCACAGCUGCGGCUGGGGCUUCCUGCCCACAUUCCAGCAGACCUUGCCCUGCAGGGGCUGCGAUCCAGCUGACCGGAAGCACUCGGGUAUGAGCAACUUCCGGCUCAGCCCCCAGCUGAUGAUGAGGGGGAGUUACUGCAGAACACUCCCUGGUCCCCCUCGCAUAGGGGCUUCACCCCGAGGUAGCUGCUUCCUAGAGAUGUCUCAGAAACAUUGCGCCUUAGAUGCCGGUGCAGUCACCCACAGCCUGACGUCAGCCCAAGUUGGGGAGCGUUCCUUCCAGAUCCUGGGACAGUACCUGAGGACGCUGGCAUGACAGCCCAGGUCUUUCCUUUGGCUGCCUCGCAUUGAAGCCCUGCCGGACCUGAUACCCACUGCCUCUGCAGCCUGGCCUUUCAAUGCUAGGUCCUUCUCAGUGCCAGUCUGAAAGCAAAACACAGUCGUGCCCAAACACGAUAUGCUUGUUUGUUGAGAAACGUGUACUCAGAGGACGAUUAUCUUCCCUGAGUAACAGCUGAAUGUGAGUAGACAGAAGCCCUCAAACCAUCGAGAUAGUUCCCCCGUGAGAUAUCAUCGGUGUGCUCUUCAUUUUCCAAACAUGGAAAUUGCUUCAACGUUUCUGAUUGUGAAAGUAAUACAGAUUUAUUGUGGUAAGUUCAGAAAGAAAAAUAAGGCAGCAUGAAAUUAAAAUCAUGAAUAUCCAUCAGCCAGAGAAUUCACAAUUUUCACUUUGAAAUAUAAUUUCUGAGGUAUUUUACUAAGCAAACAUUUACACACACAUUGUACACACACAACUCCAUUUGCUGUGAUUUAAAAAAAAUUCAUGUAUUACUCAAGUUGGAUAAGUUUUACUGCAGCAAUAAAUUAACUGUAGAUUCUCA